Molecule: non-coding RNA, 709 nt
Organism: Chrysemys picta bellii (western painted turtle)
Lineage: Eukaryota; Metazoa; Chordata; Testudines; Emydidae
Source: RefSeq, a predicted model, not a curated record
CACAUGUCACUGCAAGACUUCAUUACCCACUUGCCAGCACACACGUAUACCAGGAAGACUUACAGUGGGUGGUGACCUUCUAGAAAGUGGCUGUGCAUUUCACCAAGGAAGAGUGGGCUCUGCUGGACCCUGCUCAGAGAGCCCUCUACAGAGACGUCAUGCAGGAGAACUAUGAGAAUAUCGCAUCGCUGGGUAAGAAUUCCUGUCCCAUCAGUUAUUAAUAAUUGUGGGGGCUUGCUUUUAAGUUUUCUCAUCAUAUACUUUGACAAGUUUCUAAAGUUUUUAUAUCCCCCUCCCCUUUUUUUUCCUUAUGUGAUUUUUUUUUGUGCUAUCAGCCAUUUUGGAAAAAAUAGCAUUUUUACAUUUUAUUUAAUUUAUCCUUUCUGGAUUUAUGAAAACUGAAUGAUAACUUUCCUACCUUUUCCUCAUUUUAAGAGUCAAUUCUAAAUAAAGUCUAGUAAACAGAUGUACUAUGUCAUGCAUGGAUUGUGUGACGGUCAGAUGUGCCCAUCUGUUGAUGGGAGAAUGUAUACAGUGCUGUUCGGGAGUGAAGGGAGAACAGGGAGCAGUGGGAGGGGAAAAGAAGUUGCCAGUAGGUGGGGAGGGCUGAGGCUGUGUAAGGAAGGGGAAGGUGUCUGUGGAGGAUUAGGGCUAAGGCCUGGUCCACACCUGAAACUUAGGUUGACCUAGCUAUGUUACUGAGGGAUGU